Pseudopipra pipra is the source of this 11885-nucleotide long non-coding RNA. RefSeq lists it as uncharacterized. The record is from RefSeq and is a predicted model, not a curated record. The transcript is spliced from 9 exons. Lineage: Eukaryota; Metazoa; Chordata; Aves; Passeriformes; Pipridae.
GUUCCCAAAGGGGGUGUCGUGCUGGGCAUCUCCUCUGAACCACCUGGCUGAGAGGAAGAGCUGAAUGAAGCUGCCCUCAACAACUGGAAAAAAAAAAAUCUUCUGUCACUACAACAAGGGAAAUUGGGAUUAGAGGAGAAACCCCAAAGUGGGAGAGUGGUGCAGGCCUGGAGCAGGUGCCCAGCGAGGCUGUGGGAUCUCCAUUCCUGAGGAUUUCCAGAGCUCCUGUGGCCACCAGCAGAUUCCACUUUGAGGUUGUGGCCAUGUCUGGAGUAGAAGGAUGACUCAGGUGACUUCCAGCCAUCUUUGACACACUCUCCACGAAAUACUAUUUUCCUACAAACCUCUGUGACUCUCAUGAGUGUUCCCUGAAUUAGCCCAGACGAGGUGCAGCCUCUCCAUCCUCAUCCUCACUCCCAGGGGCAUCUGAAGUGCCCUCAGUGCCAUCUCCCAACCUUUGGGUGUUUUGUGCACAUCCCUUCCUUGUUUCUAUGCUUUAUUUGCUUGGUUGUUUCUCCCUCAGAGUGGAUUUUUCUGGCCAUGUUUUAGGAAAACACGCUCUGGGGGUAUCACAUACAAACAAUUACACUUGAAAACCCCUGAAGAUGGACUGAAAGUGGAUACUUGCAGGGAAUAACAGGGGACUUUGGAUGCACAAGUAGAACUCUAAUAGCUGGCUUGAGUUCAUUGGGGUAAUCUGGCCCUUAUCCCAGCCUUUUUGAAAGAUAAUCAUCGUUCCAAGAGAGGUUUUCAUUGACUGUAGCAUACACUUUAUAUUUCACUGUGUAAUGGAACCUUCCAUACACUCAAGGAAAACAAUUUACAGAGCUAAUUGCUGAACUCUGCAGAUAUAAUCCUUUAAAUGGGUUAUGCUAGAUAAGAGUUUAUGUUAAAAAAGAAGAAAUGUUCUGGAGGAAAAUUAUUGUUUAGGGAACAUUGAUUUGCAUGAAUUAAUGUUUUCACUUGGGCUGAUAGUUAAAAAUGGAUAGUUAAGCUAAGCCACGUUUUAGUGUAACAUAAAUGCUUCAUUAGUUAUGGUGUGAGCUGAAAUCCAUUGUUUGUUUGCUUUUUUAUGUCUCCAAACUUCAGCUGGCGUCGGGUCAAACCGUGCCAAAGAUUCCAUUUUUUUAAUUAAAAAAGAAAAAAAAGCCCAAAAAAGCCCUGCAUGGACUCUGAGAUGGGAGGAUGCCUUGGAGUUCUCAUUGUUACUCACUGAUUUAGUUUAGACAAUCCUCUCCACCCUCCUGUCUCAGCCUACUUCUCAGGGAAAUUAGGGGUGGUGCUAAUGAUCUCACCUGACACAGUUGUCUCCAGAAUUAACUGAUGAAUAUUUGCACAGUACAAUAUUUGUACAGAGGUGGUGCAUCCCUCGUGCUGCAGGAGCAGCCAUCUGUCACACACACACAUCUCUCAGAUUUAAGGGCUGCAAUGAACAUUUUGGGGGCUUGGGAAGUCAAGGAACUUUUGCAGAACUCAGAGAAUUAAUUUAUUUUAUUUUUUUUUUGGUUGCUGUUUUUAUCACUUAUAUUUUAAUUCAGAUUAUAACCCAGGUCUGUACCUGCUGAUGGUUGUUGUGGCUUUAUUGCCCACACAGUCUGGGGUUAUGGCACAAAUAUAUAAGAGUUCAGCACUGUACAGAAGGUGUUAGUAAUGAACUAGACAGAAUGUUUGAGUUUAAUUUAAAUUCAUUUUCUCCCCUGUAGCCGAGUGUUGGUGACAGAUCGAGAGAGAAGGAGUAAAGCCCAGCAUUGUGUUUUUUUCCACAGCCCAGUGGAACAAAGGGGUCUGUGGUGAAAUCCCUGCUGUGAACUGCACACCAAAAGCUGCCAUCCCCAUCCCAGGUGCUCCUUCCCCCUGGCAAACAGCCUAAGGAGGAGCUGUUUAUAGAUCUCCUUCUGGCAGCUGGCUGAGAAGGGAAUGCCACGGCAAAGGAGGGAUUACCGAGUUGUAUCCAGAGGGAACAGCAGUGCUGUGUGUUACACAUAUCACCACUGCAACAGAACCGUGUCUGGGGAAAUCAAGAACUGAGCAGAUCCUGUUUCAGUCCCAGUCAUUUUCAGGGUGGCCCUUCCCAAACAAAGACAAGCAGUCAGGAUACAUUCCUUGAAGAGUUGGGCCUAACAAACAAUAUGGCAGCGCACGGGCGAGAAGAAAUCUUGCAGGAUGCUGCUGCUGCUGAGCUCCCAGGGCACGAUACGUGUGGUUGGGCAGGAUGUGGCUGUUCCUGCAGGGCCACGUGCUCCCUGCCCCGCUGCCUCCAGAGCUCCCUGACUUCUGGGGGGCUCCUCAAUCCCAUUUUGCCUCCAACACGGAAGUUAUCCCGGUUUUUCAAAGAUGCUCAUCCCCUGCAACGUGGAUUUUGAGUGCUGAGAGCUGGACACUUUUAAGAAACCAGCAGCUCUGGGUGUAGGGUGCAGCAGAGCCUGCAGUGCAGCGGGAAGUGAUGCAGAAGUGUGGAUGGCACCGGGAGCUGCUGCGCCUGCUCCUGCUGCUGUUCCUGGCACGCAGGGACUGAGCAGCCUCUGAUGGGCCAAAUGUGAGUCCUCGGAGGCUGCUGUGUCUCCCUCGCCUCCUGACACUCAUUCUGUCUGUCACAUCCCCCUGGAUGCCUGGCUCUGUGCUGUUUAGUCUGCUCUCAGCACCAGUGGAGCAGCUGAGCAGGAGCUGCUGUGACGGGCUCGGGUCGAGGUGCCCAGGCCUGUUAUUGCUUUGACAGCAACACCUAAAUAAAUGUCUUGGCAUCCUGGAGUCACCCUGCGAGGAGAGACUCCCUGUCCUCAGUCUGAGUGCAUCAGGCAGGCAGGAGAGGGAGCAGGGAUGGAGAGGUUUGCCCGAGCCAGGGAGCACGUGGAGCAGCAGGGCUGGAACAGGGGCAGGGCUUUGGAUCCUCCCCACUGUCAGCACAGCUCAUCUGGGAUUCCUCUGCCUGCUGCUGAGCCAGCUCCUGCCUCUCCCUGGGCAGGGAACAGUGCCUUGCACCCACCAACCAGCUGGAGGGAAUAUUUCGGUGUCCCACCUUUGCAGUGCCUAAGACAUGUAUUUAUUUAAUGCGAGAAAUAAACCUUCAUGUGUUAAUUAAUUUAGUACUAGAAAACCAAGGAAACGUAUCUUUGUUUUAUCUUUUAAAUAAUUCCACCCUCUCUUUAAAAAGAAAUCAGUGCUGGUGAGAAGGGUGAAGUCUGACAAGAGGUCAGGGGAUGUUUAGGAAUUACUGUGCUUUGAGGUUCUUCAGGUCCCUGUAGUCUUUCAGGGCUCUUUACAAACAUUAAUUAAGGCUCAGAGGCCCAACUCCUUUCUUAGGUGCCAUGUUAUCAAUUUGUGUUGUUUUUUCUGUAGGGAAGAACUGAAAAUAGUCCACAGUGAAUUCCUGGAGGAGAUGGGAAAAGAUCUGUGGACUGCAGGCCCCCAAUCUGUGAUUUAGAGUCUCUCCUUUACAGGUGACCCCAGCACUCCUUUCCUAUUGAAAUACAGUUCAUUCUAGUGCUGCUUUUAGUCUCAUGGAUAUCUAACUUUAAUUUAAUUUUCUACUUUUCCUGCCAGCUCAGAUUCCCAAAAUGUCCCCAACCUUUCUGCGUGUUUCUGAAGUUGAAUUUGGGUUCAGCAGUUUGGGCUCUAAUUGAACAGCCUCAACAGGGCAUCAGAUGGGGAUGACAAAAGCACUCUGGACACAGCAGCUUUCUUCCAAGGACCUCAGUCCCUCCCAGGACACGGUGAGCAUUGUUGUGCUGGUUCUGUAUUAUGGGCAAGCAAGGUAAGAAGUGAUUUUAUCACUGACUUGAUGUGGAAUUGGCCAGUAGUCUACAAAACAGUCAAGUUUAAAUUAGAAGCUUUUGGUUGUCGAGCUCCUCAUUUUGUAGAAUGAUGUUCUGGAAAUAUCCAAGUCAUGAUGCCUUUGCCCAGUUUUGCUUUCCAUGGCUGUGCCCCAUACUGUGAAUUUGUGCCAUUCCUCACAUCACUAGAACCCUUUGUUUGUAUUAGUAAAUGCUUUUUACUCCUCUGAAGACAUUUUAUUAAUUUGUAAACUAUUCCCAUGUAUUCUGUCCCUAUGGCUGAGCUAUAAGUGUUAUUUUGGAGAUAUUUCCUAAGUAAUCUCUGUGUAGUUUGCCCAGAGUGAAGUUAUUGACUUGUCUCAGAAAGGCCUUAAGGUUUUAUAGUUAAUGCUUAAGUCCCUAAAGCUUCCUCCCUGGCUGAACAUUCCUUCUCCUAUGAAUUGCUAAUUCCAAUUGAUCUGAGAAAAAAAAAAGAAAGAAAUAGUUUGUAUUUUCUCUACUUUCUGCUCUAACUGUGCACCUACCAAGGUCUCUUCUUGCUUUGAUCCCACCUCUGUGAUUAAAUUCAUUCUUCCUUUCUGUUUUCCAGCUUCUCUCUGCAAACUUCCUCUCACUCCAUUUCUGCAAGAACUUUUGCUGCAAACCAGGUCCCUGAGAGGAUCACUGAGGGGGAGGCCAAUUUAUUUCUAUUUAUUUAUAAAUGAGCUGCAGAGACUUGGCCCCUUUUUAAACAUAAGAACAAUUUUCGGGCCUCUUUCAGUUGUGGUUAUUUCACUCAAAAGAAAAAAAAAAACAACCCCAAGCACAGAACAAUAGAGAAAUAUGAGGAGUUGUGGAAACCCCUCAAACUUUCUCUGUUUAGAUUUUACAUUCCUGGUGGUCACAGGGCCAGGUGAUGGUGGCAGUUGUGUUUUCUUCUGGAGUGCCUGGCUUGGAUGAUCCCAAAGCACCAAGCUGAGUUCAUUGCUGUGAUCAAACUAGAAUGAUACCUCUGGUUUUUUUUUUGUUGUUUUUUUUUUGGCCCUCAAGGUUUUGGAAUUUGAGCCUUUGAAAAACAGGGUUACUGGACUCUAGUAAAUGAAGUGUCUGGAUGUCAGUGAUGAUUCAUAAAAGCAAUUAAAAAAAGGAAAGUGCUUUUCCUCUGAGCGUAAUGUCUUGGUUUGAAGAUGCCCUAAAAGUGAGUGUGUGCUGCUCUGUUUCCAGCAGAACACUUCUUAUCCUGUGGUUCUGCUGAUCUAAACCAAAUUUUUUUCACACAGUCACAGAACAGUUGGGGUUGGAAGGGACCUCUGGGGUCACUCAGUCCAACCCCUCUGCCCAGGCAGGGUCACCUGGAGCAGGUGACACAGGAACGUGUCCAGGUGGGGUUGGGAUGUCUCCAGAGAGGGAGACUCCAUGCCCUCCCUGGGCAGCUGUUCCAGUGCUCUGCCACCCUAAAUUCUUCCCCAUGUUGGGCUGGAACUUGUUAUGUUUUCCUUUAGGGCCGUUGCUCCUCAUCCUGUUGUUGGGAACCCCCAAAAAGAGUCUGGCACCAUCCUCUUGGCACCCACCUUGGAGAGAUUCAUAUGUAUUUGACAGCUGAAUCUUUCUUAUUUGGUUUCUAUUUCAAUAUAGUUCACAUUUCUUCCUUCUUAAAUUUGAGGAAAAAACCCAACUAAGGAUGUAAUAUUUUCCAUGGGAGAAAUGUGGUUGUUGCAACAUAAAUGUUGGAGGCGACAGAGGAUUGAAAUUCAUCAAAUAGGAUUUUUCUUUUCCCCCCCCAGUGCUACUCUCUGGCAUUUCUAGGCUGCCCCAAACACGAGACACCUCAUUUGUGCAGCUUUAAAUUGAUUUUCAGGGAGCAAGAGUGAACUCUGUUAAAACAGGAUGAAGGUAAUGGUUGUAUACAAAGAUCCAUCAGCGUGGCCACGUUACCCUAAGCAGGAAGCAGACCCCGAGCCAUGCCCUACAAGCUUCCUACAUGGCUUUUCAAGCCAUCCCAACCAACCUGUUACCUGUUAGGGAUGGUUGUUAGGCUGUUUUAGGGCAGGCACUUCCAGUCUUACUUCCUUCUCCAAGUGGAUGCCUCGUGCUUCUCUUGAACAUAUUGAAGUCGGGGCUUGCAUUUGCUUUGCCCUCACAUCCUGGUCAUCCCUGGGAUACAUGCUAAGGGAAGCAAAAUAGUUUACUGAUUUAUCAUGGAUCAUUAGAUGGAGUAACUAUUCUUAAAACAUCACCAGUAUGGAUACAAUAAUUAGAGAUGUGCUUUUGUUAACACUGCCAGCCUCUACCCUCUUGUACAGUACCCUUGGGUACUAAAUAAUUACCCACUUUGUGUGGUUAUCUAGCUCACUAAUUACCCACAAAAAUUGGGGUCAGGUGUUAACUGCUUGAAAUAAGUAUCCUCCGAAGGCUUGGUAAAAUUGUAUAAAGAAAUUAUGUGUUUGCUACAAAACUUUGAAAAAAAAAUCAAACAUUUUUUGGGGGAAGGAAGAUAAGGGAAGUGGAAGGAGACAAUGGAUGCAGAAUGUUCUGUGUGAUGGCAAAAUCUUGCUGUGCUGGUGAGGGAAUCUAAAGGGAGUGAAAGGAUGGUUGGCAGAUACAGUCUCUAAUCCAGUCUACUUUUCCCAAAGAUUAGAUCCUUCAGUACACAGGGUUGGAUUCUUCCCCUAUCUAGGCUGAUGCCAAUCAGGAUUAUGCUGGUAUAAAUAAGAAAAUUUGUAUCUGUGGAUUCCCAGACUGACUUUGCUGCAUAAUCCCACCUCUUCCAUCACCCAGGGACUUCUGCAUUGCACCCAAUAAUUUAAUUAUGUAUUGUAUAUUUAUUUCCACGUGUUUAUUUUAGCUGUGUGCAGGCAGAAUUUCACUCUGAGGCUGCUGCUCAUAAAAUGCAGUUUGCUUUGAGCAAUAAUUUGAUUCCUGUGCUCAGGGAGUUACCCCAGUGAGUCAAAGAUUUCUAGAUAGCCCCACCCUCCCCAACUUCCCGAACGCUUACACUGCAGCCACUUUCCCUUUGCCAGACCCACACAAGGUGUCUAACCAGCCAAAAUCCCAAGGGGCAAUCCCAGUCUCCUGCCUCCCCUGUUUCAGCCCCAGAAAACUAGGAAAUAAAGCCCCAGAAGCCCUAAAGCCCUUGAAACACCCGGCACGUGUAGCAGAGGGAUGUUUAAUAGCCCGUCUUCCUAACCUGGUUUCUUGCAUAGGUGCUCUCUGUCUUCGGUACAAAGGAAACAGAUUCCAGUGGGAGCUGAGAAGGUGUUCCUAAAAAUCCUUUGGACCCAUCCCAGGGUCUUUGCGUGCCCGGAUACCUUUAAUUGCUCGGCGUCUCUGCAGUGCACAGCGCAACAAAGAAACUGCCUUUAUUUAUUGCUGGAUUUUGUGGUAGGUGCUUCGCAGCCAGAAGCACCUUCUGUUCCUACACAAGCACCUUUUGGAGCCUGUGUGGAUUCAGGGAUUAGAAAUCACCAGCCUGAACGCUUGGGCAAACAGGGGGGGGUCUCAGGAAGGCCCCCAGGACGAGGUGUGUGCUCGCCCUCGGGGGUACCUGCGCCCCGCAUUGUGUGGAGCAUCCCUGGAAAACGCAGGGAUCAGCCUCCUAAGGCACAAUGCAGAUUUAGUCGUCAUCUUUGUCUCCCCCCCCCCCCCGCCUCCCCGCUCUGCUCCCCGCUGAUGUUAACUGUCUGUAUUAUUAUUUAUUGUUAUCAGGGGAUUUGGUUUGAUCAAUGAAGUGUAUAUGCGGCUGACGGACAUUGGGAGAGGAAAUGCUUGGAGAAUGAGUAACAUGUCUGCAGUGGAGGGUGUGUGUGAGGGAGAGGGAGAGCGAGCAUCGCUACUAGAAACAUUGACUGAUGAGUUCAUUUUAAAAUCCAAGGGCAUAUAGCUGGUAAAUUAGCACAUAUUGCAAAUAUAGUCUGGUGCGAGAGGCAGCAGUGCUGCCAUUGAGCGGAGGGGUGGGUGUGGAGGGGAAGGGGGGGGGUCGAGGAGAGGAGGUUGUCAGCUCUAAAGUCAUCACGGGCAUGAGCCAGGCAGUCUGCCCUGCCUCACUGCAGACGUGGGGCGUGCGAUUUCCACGGGCGGCUGCGGCGCGGCGGAGGGGGGGAGCGGGGGGCACCCGGGAGAGCAGCAGCGCUGGAUUUUAUUGUUUUAAAAUCCAGAGCCAGCCGGAGGGACGCAAGGCGAAGGGCUGCAGCCCCUCCGCUUCCCCCUCUCCUUCCCCCCUCCGGCCCCCGGCACCCCCUUAGGAAGGCGGCGUGGGGCGGGAGCGGCUGCCCGGAGGGUCCCGGGGCUGGUACCCGGCGGGGAUGCGGCGGGGACGGGGAUGCGCCGGCGGGUUUCUCCCGGGAUCUUAAGAGAUUAUUGGGGAGGGGUGACCGGGAAUGGUGUGUGCGAGCGUGUGAGUGAGUGUGUGUGUGUGCGGGGCUGGCGGCGGGGGGAGCCGAGUCCUUAUUCUGUUAAAGAUUUAAGUAGGCAUGCAAGGAAUCUCUAGGAUAGUUGGCAAAGGGCGAGGGUGGGGAGGGGGGGGAAGGAUCCAAAAGAGUCUGUAACCAGACACUGAAGCUUUCCAGGAGUGAGAGUGUGUGAGAGAGACGGAGACAGAGCGAGAGGAAGAGAGGGGGCAGUGUGGUCUAGUACAUUUUCAUCUGGUCGUUGAUUUGAGCCUGAUGCUUGCUGUCCCUCAACAGCCUCCCUUGCCUGGAUUUUUUCUUUCCCCCUCUCCUCUCCUUUCCCUUCUACUUCAUCGAAGCCUAGGGGAGCCAGGAAAGAUUAAAUGUGCUUUCGAAAAGGCAGCCACUUCAUGCAGCUAUGUCUGCUCCCCCCCCCCCCACUCCCAGCCACCCCCCCCCACUCCCCCUUUUUGAAAUAAAAAAAAAAAAAAGGAGAGGGGGAGACAGAGAGGGGGAGAAGGAAGGAGGAGGAAGAGGAGGACUAUAGUUUAAUGAUGUCGGGACUGGCUGAUGCAGAAGGAGAAAAAAAAAAAGGAAAAAAAACCCUAAAAAAAAUAUAUAGGAAAAAAAAAAAGAAAAUAUUUGAGCUCCUGGACGAGGAAGGACUUUGGUGAAUGGGCUCAGACUCCUGAGGUGAGAAAAGGACGGAGUGAAUGAUGAUGAUGAUGAUGAUGAUGGUUCCGUAAUGGUGCCUGUUACCGCUGCCCCCGGCCGGGCGGCGGCGGGGCCGGGGCCGGGGGGGACCUGCCUUCGGCAGCGCCGGAUAUUUUGCAUUUUUAACCUCGGGCCCUCCGGUACGUUUCGGCUUCUUCUCCCCGCUUAUGCCGCUGGGCCUAAAGCGGUUCCAGAGCUGGGUGGAGGGUGCGGAUCCGUAUUAUUUAUUUGGGCGGGGGGGUGGGGGUGGAAGGGGGGGGGGAAAGAGAGGGAGGAAUGGGAGGGAGGGAAGGGGAGAGAAGAGCGGAGGGAAGGAGGUGGCAAGCUGGGGACGAAAUCCUGCUCUGGGUUAUGGCCGGCGUAAAUUUCCAUUGGCUGGGGGUGCACAAGGUGCUCGGAGAGAGGAGUCGGUGCAGGAUGGAGUCCCUUUGUGUGUGUGUGUGUGUGUGUGUGUGUGCGCGGGGCUGCGGACCCUCCUCUCCCGGCGAAGCGGGUUUUUCUCCAGGUUUUCCUUUGAAGCCCCGGCCGGCGGCUGGCAGGGGAGGGCGGCCGGGGCUGCGGCGCUGCUGCCCGCGCCCUUCCUCCCUCCCUCCCUCCCUCCUCCUCCUCCUCCUCCCCGCUGACAGUCUGGGGCUCGCUCCGGCACCGGGCUGGCCCCGGCUCCCGCAGCCCCCCAGCCCCCGUCUCUUCAUCAUAAUAAUAAUAACAACAGCAGCAGCGGCAGCAGCAGCGUUGGUGGGAGCGCGGAGGGCGGCAGGCGAGAGAGAGGAGAGAGCUGCGGAGGAAUUUGGUUCCUUUUCCUUCCCCCCCCCCCCAACCUCCCACCCCGCCACCCGCUUUUUUUUUUAUUAUUAUUUUCCCCCCCUCUUUUCCUUGAUAUAUCCUCCCCCCUCCUUUUUUUUUUUUUCCCAUAUAUAUAUAUUAAAAAAAAAAAAAAAGAAAGAGAGAGAGAGAGAGAGAGAUGUUUUAAAGCUGCCAGCGGCUCGCCCAGCUGCGCACAGCCGCCCUCCCUCGCUCCCUCCCCCGGCCGCGCACACACCGCACGCUCCGCACCCGCUCGGGUGUCAAACCCCGCCGGGCACCGACCCCGCUGCGGGCACUGCCCCAUUCCCACCCCCCCCGCACCGCCCCGCACCGCCGGGCCGGGUCCCCCCUUUUGCUCUUCGGCGCUGGAGGAUCGGAGCCUCUUCCCCCAGCUUCCAAAUGGUGAGUUUUUCUACCUGAUUUUUUUUGUGGCGACUCGGGUUUUCUCCUUUUUUUUUUUUUUUUUUUUUCCCUUUUUUUUUUUCCUCCUCUCCAUCCCCGGGGCUGGCGGAGGGGGCGGGGAGGCAGCGCCUUUGCUGCUGCUUUGCACGCUUUGUGCCAGGGGCCGGGAGCGAGCCUGCAGAUUCCUGCUCUUAUUUCUGCAUUCCUUCUCGUUGAAACAAUGAAAAUAAUUCCGUCACUGCCCCAAACUUCCUCUUCGUUAUUUAAAUGCGGAGGCUUUUUCGUGUAUUUGUCGCAAGCGACCUUGUUGGGAGCUGUAAGGAACCUGCCGCGCCAUGUCAUGUUUUGGUUUUUUUCGUAGAAACGAUUAAAAACGGAAUGUAUUCUCUCAACAGAGGGUCCUUAGAGAAGCUCUUUCCUUCCACCUGUGUGUCCUGUUUUGUAAUCUUGAGCCAUGAAUUGAACUUGCCUGCUAUUCUUUUCCUCUUUCUCCUUUUUAUCCUUUAUUUUUAAAAAUUACUGUUAUUUUUUUUUUGACCCCCCGCUUUUCUUUUUUAUUACCUUUCAAAUUUUAUUUUUGCAAGGAGUAGUUUGUGGCGCCCCUCUCAAUCCCUGAGACCCUAACUUGUGAUGUUUAGCUUUUAAAUCCACGGGUUAGGCUCUUGGGAGCUGUGAGUUGUGCUUUGACAUCUUUAUUUUAUUUUAUAAAUAUAUCCUGUCUCUCCGUGUAUGUGUGCGUGCGCGCGUGUGUGUAUAUAUAGAGUCGUAUACACACACAUACAAUCGUGUUUAUAGACCUUUUAAGGGAAAAAUAAGUGUAUCUCUCCUCCUUAGCCUCGAUCUGCUGAUAGCAGGGCAGUGGUUAUGGCCAUUUACUGUAAAAAAAAAUCAAAUUAAAGCCAGCGUUUGUGUGACAGAGAUUUUUUUUAUGUGUGUGUGUGUGUGUGUGUGUUCACUAGAUAAUUUUGCAGCUGAUACAGAUAUGGGGAUGUGUGUGUGUGUACACAUACAGUGAUUAUUAUAUAUGCGUGUGUAGAUAAGAUAGACAUGAUAUGGAUCAUGUAAAUACAGCUAUUGAGGUGUGGGGAGAGAUACACAUAUGGAUGCUACAUGUGUAUGAAUAUGUAUGUAGGUAAAUAAACCCCUCUAUAUAUAUAUAUUUACAUAUAUAGGUGUAUUAAUACUGUGUUUUCAUGUGGAGGGAGAACUGCAGGCCACUGCAUAGAGCAUCUCUCUCAUUUUUUAUUUUUGUUUUUGACUUCCCCCCCUUCUUGAGAGCAACACAGAGUACCCUGAGAGCGUAACAGUAACAGCUCGGUACAUUGGUGCUUGACCUCAGCUGAAAUCCCAGCAUGCCUCAUGCUUCCAAGUUUAAAACUGAACGAUUAAUCUUGGAAAUGUGCUCUAUGGACACACGGGGGGAAAAAAAAAUUAAAGGAGUAAAAAACAUAAAAAGCGAAAAAUAAUAAUAAUAGUAAUAAUAAUAAUAAUAAUAAAUAAAGCCAGGAGGCGGGGUGGAUCUUAGAGGUGAAGAAUAAACUACAAGAAUAAAAUGGUUGCAUGUCCUAAUGGUUGGUUGCUGCUGAAAAGAAAUGCUGAAGUUUUGUUUGAGUCCUUUUCUAGAACUUCGAGCUCUCCUCCUUUUCCAGGCAAAAUGAUGUGUAAAUGACGAAUCAGAAAUGUUCGAAAUGUUUCCUGCUGCUGUUUUUCCUUUAUUAGAUUUUUUUUUUUAUGUUGCUGUAAAAUUAAUUAUGGUUGGAACUGUAUUUCUUAUCUCUGUUCUGCAAGGCAAUUUAUAAUGGAGUUACUGUACCUUGUUAUGGCACCGAAA